UUCGUCGAAAAAUCACAAGCGCGCAUGCCGUAGGUGUUUGCCUGGUUGCAAGAUCUUGCCGAUUUCAACGUUUUUCCACCUCUUCGCACUUUCUUCUUUGGCUCCCCACCGCGCGCAGGUUGGCGUACGCUGAACUGGACCCUCGCAGCAAGAAUGGCACGUGGGAGUAAGUUUUAUUUGUGACGCGAUUUGGUUUAUCUUCCGAAGAAACUGUUAAGCUCACAAUGCUGAUAUGUUGUUGUUGUCGGCCACGUGUGUAGAUUGACACCGCGAUCGUGGAACACAUGGCUAUCUGCCUCGAAUAACUGCAAGCCGGCGCGCGCGUAGUGCCGUGGAGAACAAUCAGAAGUCCUGGACGACAAAGAAAAAAAACUUCAAAGGUUUGUUGUACAUGUUUUCCACGGCAGCUGACAUAAACGUAAAAAAAAUUGGAAUGGUCAAAUGCAUGUGUCAAGUUUAACCAUUUGUAGUGGGCUGUGGACGAGAAUUAAGCAUUGCUGCACACAAGACUGGCUUGCCCUCAGUUUAUGCCCAGUACCAAAUUUUUUGCUCUCAUUAUGACACCAUUUGUAAGAAAAGCCAGAACUUAUGUUCAAAACAGCGCAUAUUCUUGCUAUUCUUUUAUUCAGUUGCACGUGUGAGUCCUGCUGCUGGCCAUCAGUUAGCCGGUUAUCAGAAGAAAAGGGCACAGCCCAGUUUGUACUGGUAUAUACCGUAUCGUUUGUGAUUAUGAUCAUGAUUUUUGUCUUACUGAAACAAGAAACUGAAAAAUGUAUGUUGGUGUUUAUGCUACAUCUCUAUGAAGCAGCAGAACCUGUUGCUCAGUCACUUGGUGCAUAUUAGCAACUGGCACCUUGUCUGGCUUCCCGAUACGUCCGCCUUUUUUCAGUGCAUAAGUAGUUUCACACAACCGAAAUGACCAACUAGCCCACUCUGUUUGUCAAGUAGGUUUUACUUCCAAACAAAUGUAGCACAUUUGUGAUAUGCACUGUUGCUCAAUGAUAUUCUUUUUGCAUGUGCUAGCUGUGUACACAUAUUACAUGAUCUUUUUUCUUUUUUUUUUCAGCUGCUUCUAGUAGUGGUGCCCCUGGUGUGCACCUUUACCCCAAAUGUCUGCACCUUUGCCUACCGGUAAUGACAUAGAAUGUGCUCAGCUUCCUGGACAUAGGCAUGCAGGUUACGAGACGGAAAACGUGCAGCUUAGACUUCAUGCUUGUAAAUGCGAAAGUCGUAACCGACACAAUUAGAGUAAGCUAAAAGGAGAAAUUUCUGCUUAUGAGCAAGUAAUUAUGAAGCAGGUUUUACUCCUUUUAAACUAGCAGACAUGCAACAACACAGUUGUGCUAUGUUUGUUUUGUGCGCCACUUUCAUGCAUAUUUGUGCUUGCAGUGGAUAUGCAUAUACAUGAAGGAUUUGUUUUUGUUUUCCUCAGCUGCCUCUGCGAACCCCGCUCCUGGACAACAGCUGGGAGGCUCUGUGUUUAAACGCGUGCACCUUGGACGUCACGCUCGUAAAUACCAAUUCCUUUGUCAUUCCUGGCAUGAAUUUCGUUGGUAAAGCAAUAAGUAAAAUUGUGCAUUGUUGUUUACAAGCACUUCAGUAUGAACCAGGCUUAAAGGAGAAGGGACCGACAACUGGCCAGAACUUGUGAUUAGAUCCUGUCAGAAAUGAAAAGACCGCGCUAUAUACUGACAUAUUCCAGCAUCCUUUUCGCGCUGUGAGUAGGAUUUAUAUCUCUAAAUUGUGUUUAAAAGUAACAAAGAAAAGGCAUGUUGUGCAGCCUAUCGCAAGAGCCUUGAAGCUAGAUUGCGGAGUUGAUCACUUUGCUGUACAAAGUCACGUAGUCUGAUACCGUCAUGUGUGCCAUUAUUGGUCCUAAAAAUAUUAGUAUGUAUAUUACUAUCCAUCCCCGCUCUAUUCUGUGCUGCUUAUGAGGUAAAAGGAGUUGCAUGGUGACAAGUAACGGCGCUGCCUUCGCGGUAGCCAGUGGACCAUGUCGAGCCGCAGCGCAUGCGCGCGAGUACACACACACGCAGUAAACCGCCGCGCUCGAACACGAACCGCUGUCACGCUCACUGUUUGCAACAUGUCUUGUCACGUGUAUAUACGACUUCAUAUCCGUCGCAGAUAGAAAAAUUCGAAUUACAAAUGUUUCACGGCAUUUUCCACAUCACCAUUCCUUGAUUCUACACUCUGACUGGUAAGCUUUCUGUCGCGUUAAAGAAAAUAGGUACCAUAAAAGUUGGUUGUCGGUCCCUUUAACCUCGUAACACACACACAGGACAAAAUAGGCAUGCUAUAUCCCCGUUGUGCACCAUCUUUGUGCGUUUGUGUGUGCAGUAUGGACAUGUACAUUAAGGCUUUGUUUUUGUUCGCAGCUGCCUCUGCGAGCCCUGCUGUUCGACGCCAGCUGGAAUGCUCUGCGUUUGAAAGCGUGCACCCCAGAUGUCAUGCUCAUAAAUACAGAGUUCUCAUGAUUCUAGUGUUGACAAAGCAAUAAGUAAAAGCAGGCACUUGUGUAUCUGGAAUGAGGUUUAACCCUGUCUUAGGAGACAUAAGACAAUAUAGUGAUGCUAUGUUCCUGUUGUUCACCAUUUUCAUGCAUGUUGUGUGCAGUACGUAUACAUACAUGCAGGCUUUGUUUUUGUUGUCCUCAGCUGCCUCUGCAAGCCCUUUUGCUGGACGCCAUGGAAGGCCCUCCACUCGAAAGUGUGCACCUUAGACUACACGCUCAUCAAUACCAAGUUCUCUGUCCUUCUCGGCAUGAUUGUAGUGCCAUAUAAUAGUGAGGCAAUAAAUCAUUUUUGCUGGUCA
Molecule: long non-coding RNA, 2814 nt
Organism: Rhipicephalus sanguineus (brown dog tick)
Lineage: Eukaryota; Metazoa; Arthropoda; Arachnida; Ixodida; Ixodidae
Exons: 2
Source: RefSeq, a predicted model, not a curated record